Molecule: ribosomal RNA, 159 nt
Filed under: Triticum aestivum (bread wheat)
Lineage: Eukaryota; Viridiplantae; Streptophyta; Magnoliopsida; Poales; Poaceae
Description: partial small subunit ribosomal RNA
Source: RNAcentral
AUGAAGACUAUUCUGGUGCUGGAGACGAUGGAGAUCCUGGAGGAGGUCACCGUGAAGGUGUUGGCGAAGAUGACCACGAUGACGGAGCCACAUGGGAUGCUGACCCGCAACUUCAAGCACUUACAAAUGGGCAAGAUUGAAAUUCUACCAUUGAAGUAG